GACGUAGGGGGCGAGCGUUGUCCGGAAUUACUGGGCGUAAAGGGCGUGUAGGCGGCCUUUAAAGUCAGCUGUGAAAUCCCUUGGCUUAACUGAGGGCUUGCAGUUGAAACUAUUGAGCUUGAGUGCAGGAGAGGAGAGUGGAAUUCCAUGUGUAGCGGUAAAAUGCGUAGAUAUAUGGAGGAACACCGGUGGCGAAGGCGGCUACCUGGACCGAUACUGACGCUGAGACGCGAAAGCGUGGGGAGCAAACAGG
This 253-nucleotide ribosomal RNA is filed under the name uncultured bacterium. Its description in RNAcentral is "partial 16S ribosomal RNA". It matches the Rfam family "Bacterial small subunit ribosomal RNA", at positions 524 to 776 of the family's 1533-position model. The record is from RNAcentral.